CCUACGGGAGGCAGCAGUGGGGAAUAUUGGACAAUGGGCGAAAGCCUGAUCCAGCAAUGCCGCGUGAGUGAUGAAGGCCUUAGGGUCGUAAAGCUCUUUUACCAGGGAUGAUAAUGACAGUACCUGGAGAAUAAGCUCCGGCUAACUCCGUGCCAGCAGCCGCGGUAAUACGGAGGGAGCUAGCGUUGUUCGGAAUUACUGGGCGUAAAGCGUACGUAGGCGGUUAUUCAAGUCAGAGGUGAAAGCCCGGGGCUCAACCCCGGAACGGCCUUUGAAACUAGGUAGCUAGAGUCUUGGAGAGGUCAGUGGAAUUCCGAGUGUAGAGGUGAAAUUCGUAGAUAUUCGGAAGAACACCAGUGGCGAAGGCGACUGACUGGACAAGUACUGACGCUGAGGUACGAAAGCGUGGGGAGCAAACAGGAUUAGAUACCCUGGUAGUCCACGCCGUAAACGAUGAUAACUAGCUGUUCGGGUACUUGGUAUCUGUAGUGCGCAGCUACGACAUUAAGUUAUUCCGUCCGUGGGUAGGUACGGUCGCGAGAAUAAACUACAAGAAGUAGACGCGNGAGACGNGCGAGGACGACGACGAGGGAGAGG
Molecule: ribosomal RNA, 597 nt
Filed under: uncultured bacterium
Lineage: Bacteria
Description: bacterial SSU rRNA
Rfam family: Bacterial small subunit ribosomal RNA (bases 1-519)
Source: RNAcentral